GUUUUUAUAAUUUAUAUAGAAUAUAACUUUGAAGCAGUUAAAGAAGUUUUUACUUUUGGACAU
Molecule: transfer RNA, 63 nt
Filed under: Lanthanaphalara mira
Lineage: Eukaryota; Metazoa; Arthropoda; Insecta; Hemiptera; Aphalaridae
Description: tRNA-Phe
Source: RNAcentral